RNAcentral lists this ribosomal RNA (766 nucleotides) under Staphylococcus aureus. Its description in RNAcentral is "bacterial SSU rRNA". It matches the Rfam family "Bacterial small subunit ribosomal RNA", at positions 28 to 776 of the family's 1533-position model. The record is from RNAcentral. Lineage: Bacteria; Bacillati; Bacillota; Bacilli; Caryophanales; Staphylococcaceae.
GAUGAACGCUGGCGGCGUGCCUAAUACAUGCAAGUCGAGCGAACGGACGAGAAGCUUGCUUCUCUGAUGUUAGCGGCGGACGGGUGAGUAACACGUGGAUAACCUACCUAUAAGACUGGGAUAACUUCGGGAAACCGUAGCUAAUACCGGAUAAUAUUUUGAACCGCAUGGUUCAAAAGUGAAAGACGGUCUUGCUGUCACUUAUAGAUGGAUCCGCGCUGCAUUAGCUAGUUGGUAAGGUAACGGCUUACCAAGGCAACGAUGCAUAGCCGACCUGAGAGGGUGAUCGGCCACACUGGAACUGAGACACGGUCCAGACUCCUACGGGAGGCAGCAGUAGGGAAUCUUCCGCAAUGGGCGAAAGCCUGACGGAGCAACGCCGCGUGAGUGAUGAAGGUCUUCGGAUCGUAAAACUCUGUUAUUAGGGAAGAACAUAUGUGUAAGUAACUGUGCACAUCUUGACGGUACCUAAUCAGAAAGCCACGGCUAACUACGUGCCAGCAGCCGCGGUAAUACGUAGGUGGCAAGCGUUAUCCGGAAUUAUUGGGCGUAAAGCGCGCGUAGGCGGUUUUUUAAGUCUGAUGUGAAAGCCCACGGCUCAACCGUGGAGGGUCAUUGGAAACUGGAAAACUUGAGUGCAGAAGAGGAAAGUGGAAUUCCAUGUGUAGCGGUGAAAUGCGCAGAGAUAUGGAGGAACACCAGUGGCGAAGGCGACUUUCUGGUCUGUAACUGACGCUGAUGUGCGAAAGCGUGGGGAUCAAACAGG